This 442-nucleotide ribosomal RNA is filed under the name uncultured Porphyromonadaceae bacterium. Its description in RNAcentral is "bacterial SSU rRNA". It matches the Rfam family "Bacterial small subunit ribosomal RNA", at positions 355 to 794 of the family's 1533-position model. The record is from RNAcentral. Lineage: Bacteria; Pseudomonadati; Bacteroidota; Bacteroidia; Bacteroidales; Porphyromonadaceae.
UGAGGAAUAUUGGUCAAUGGGCGAAAGCCUGAACCAGCCAAGUAGCGUGCAGGAUGACGGCCCUAUGGGUUGUAAACUGCUUUUAGGCGGGGGUAAAGGGGCGGACGUGUUCCGCCUUUGCAAGUACCGCCAGAAAAAGGACCGGCUAAUUCCGUGCCAGCAGCCGCGGUAAUACGGAGGAUGCGAGCGUUAUCCGGAUUUAUUGGGUUUAAAGGGUGCGCAGGCGGCGUGCCAAGUCAGCGGUCAAAGUUCCGGGCUCAACCCGGUGAUGCCGUUGAAACUGGUGUGCUUGAGUGCGUGCGAGGGAGGCGGAAUGCGUUGUGUAGCGGUGAAAUGCAUAGAUAUGACGCAGAACUCCGAUUGCGAAGGCAGCUUUCCAGCACGCCACUGACGCUGAGGCACGAAAGCGUGGGGAUCGAACAGGAUUAGAUACCCUGGUAGU